Harpia harpyja (harpy eagle) is the source of this 1573-nucleotide long non-coding RNA. RefSeq lists it as uncharacterized. Lineage: Eukaryota; Metazoa; Chordata; Aves; Accipitriformes; Accipitridae. The record is from RefSeq and is a predicted model, not a curated record. The transcript is spliced from 2 exons.
AACAGUUAAACAUGAGUAUCUGACUCUUUGUUGUGAAACAGGAUAUAAGACAUGGCAUUAGAAAUUAUAAGUAAUAGCAUGAGGGAAAACAAACCAAACAACAAACCCAAACACAUUACUUUCUUACUAUUUUCAUAUGCUUCUGUGGUACAAGAAAAUAGUUCACAAUAUAAGAAACACAUAAUAAGUAUGCCAUAAUUUACAUCAUGGUAUUUUACACUGCAGAGCUAUUUUGUGAAACUUUACAGCUUUAUAUAAUGAUCCAGUAAGUCAGAAAUGUAACUUAAUAUUACAUAAACAGUAAUUAUAUACAACAUGCAAAUAUCAUCUAGCUAUAGGAAGUGCCAGAUAGCAGCAACACGAAGUAGCAAAAAUAUAUAAACACACAAAGCUGUCUAAAUUUUUGAGGUUUCAUAUGCUGAACCUCAGCGAGAAUGAGAUCGCAGCUAAUCAAGUCAAAGGCACAGAUAUUCCUAAAACGUUUCAACAUGCUGAUUUCAGCAUCUAAAAAAUCCAAAGCCUUCUCUCUGCAGAAAAGCAAAACUUUUAGUGCACAUGCUAAAUACAUUGAUCCUACUUGUCGCAUAACUGAUGCAACUAUUCAAAAGCAAUUACAUACCUGCUAUCUGACUGAAAGUCAAUGGCACUUAUAUGUGUCCCUAAAUAGCUUCUCUGGAGCUCAGUUUCAGUCACCAGAAAAAAACACAAAGAAAAUGUAUGUGCAUACAGUCACAAAACAACUCUUAUGCUACUCGUUUGUAUACUAUUUUUUAAAAGCAUUUCAUUUCAACAAUAUUUUUAAACAUAUGCCAUAUGACUGGUGAUCCGGCUUCCCCAGUUCACAUUGCAGCCCAUAAAAGCUUUCAAGGAGAACAUGUGUCCCACCAUCCAUUCAUUCUUAGUCAUUCUGACACGUAAGACUCGAUUGCAAAUCUUUUGCCAAAAAAUGAAGGUCAUUCAGGAAAGUCUUUUUUUGUCUUUUUUUGAUUCCCACAGGACUACUUCCCUCCAGACAAAAUGAAGCAGAGAGAUGAGUAAACCAAUGAUCUAUUUCUGAAAGUGUUUAUGUGAAGAACUGUUAUUGAUAAACUUGAAAUUUCACUGGUGAAGAGCCUAGGGCCUGCAGUAUGGCUGAGCAUGGGACUGUCCCAGCAUUUGCUGGAAUAAAGGACGAGCCCCUGGGCAGUGCUCUGGGGCAGGGAAACCUGAGGUUUAGCCACCGGCUGGCACCAGUUUCAGGGCACUGUGCAGAAGAGUCAAAGCAGCAAAGAAGGCCAGAAGAGAAGAUGGCAGGCCAUAAGGAUGAAAUCAAGGUAGAAACAAAAAGUCAAGUGGCUCUCUGGAAACUGCAGAAAUGGAUGUAUUGGGCAUUAUCAAAAAAACCUCACACAGAACUCUUGUGAGACCAGUUAGGGGGCUCUGAAUUAGAUGGGGAAAGGGCGGUUGUUUGUUUUUUAUCUUUUAACUGACUUCAAAGCAAACCGAAAAGUUUGGAAAAAAACCAGAAGGUCUCUAGUAUGGACUUUUGUUCAGAAAAAAUCUACAAUAAAACUCUAUUGUAUUCAUCCUCCAA